Molecule: transfer RNA, 78 nt
Filed under: miscellaneous Crenarchaeota group-15 archaeon DG-45
Lineage: Archaea; Thermoproteati; Candidatus Bathyarchaeota
Also listed under: 1 other name
Description: tRNA-Val
Rfam family: tRNA
About the family: Transfer RNA (tRNA) molecules are approximately 80 nucleotides in length. Their secondary structure includes four short double-helical elements and three loops (D, anti-codon, and T loops).
Source: RNAcentral
GGGCCGGUCGUCUAGCCUGGUCGGGACGCUGCCCUUACGAGGCAGAGGUCGCCGGUUCAAGUCCGGCCCGGCCCACCA